This 253-nucleotide ribosomal RNA is filed under the name uncultured bacterium. RNAcentral's name for it is "partial 16S ribosomal RNA". It matches the Rfam family "Bacterial small subunit ribosomal RNA", at positions 524 to 776 of the family's 1533-position model. The record is from RNAcentral.
UACGAAGGGGGCUAGCGUUGUUCGGAAUUACUGGGCGUAAAGGGCUCGUAGGCGGCCAACUAAGUCAGACGUGAAAUCCCUCGGCUUAACCGGGGAACUGCGUCUGAUACUGGAUGGCUAGAGAUUGGGAGAGGGAUGCGGAAUUCCAGGUGUAGCGGUGAAAUGCGUAGAUAUCUGGAGGAACACCGGUGGCGAAGGCGGCAUCCUGGACCAACACUGACGCUGAGGAGCGAAAGCCAGGGGAGCAAACGGG